GGUGGCGGCUCGCUGGUCGCUCCAUUUAGAUACAUCAAUAUUUUUAUUUAAAUAAUAAUAUAUAAUAAACGGACCGUACUGGCUGAGGAUCGGACCCAGUACCAUCCCAUCUCUAGCACCGUAGAUCGACACACUAACUGCUUGAGCUACAGCCGGCCACCAAUUCACAACCAAUACACCAAAAUAUAAUCAUGAAAUGAUGAAUAAAACUAGACGAUGACAUUUUAAAUGCAAGUAAGUUUUUCUGAGUAUAACAAAUGUCAUAGUCACCCUGUACAUACUAUCUAUCUUACAGGUUAAUUUCUAACCAAUUAUAAUGAAUUUGUUAAUUUUCUAAAAAUAAUUAUGACAUUUCAAUUUUAAUGGCUAAAAUUUAUAAUUUGAGUAAUUUUUAAUAUGAAAUAUUUUAUUUCAGCAAAAUUAGAGAUAAUAAUUAAGUUUUGACUUAGCAACAGCAAUAUAAAACACUAAUUCACCACAAUCCGCUAAAACAUCAUCGUGAAACAUCAUCAGCAGAUUAUUAAAACUAUAAAAACCUUUUGAAUGCGGAAUGGAUUUAUACUACUUUCGUCUCUUACCCAAGUUAGAUUCGAAUAAGUAUUUUCUUGUUGAGAUCGAUAUAUAUCGAUCUUACGAUGUUAACAUCUAAACAUUAUAUUUGUGCUCCUAUGAAAUAUCAAGCCUAGAUACGGAGGGGAAAUCAUAAUACAUCGUCUGGCAAUGAUAGAUUCAAGAAAUUUCCAGAUGAGUUGCAGUACCGCUGUAUUUUACACUCGAAAUAACAUCUGAGAUCGUUCACUUUACAUCCACUGACUCUCCAAUGAAUCUACAUGCCUCAUACUAGAUCCUCUACCAAAAAAUGCUUUUAAACUUUUCCACGCCGUUAAAUGCAGCUGAAUACUUGUCAUGGAAACUCCCCGCAAGCAUCAACGAAGGGUAUUUGUGUCUCCGAGAGUUCACUAUAAAAUUAUGUUCAUGGCUAACAGUUCCGUGCCCGGAAAAUACUUCAUUACAAUAUGUGGACUGGUCGGUUUCAAAGUCUUUAUUGAUCUGUUUUAUACAACCUCUUUCUUGGUUCUAAAAUACCCAACAAUGCCUCUAUGCCUUAGGACGACGUACAUGGGAUACGUGUUUCGUCAACUUCCACUAUUUCUUGUGAUCCACCAUUUUGUUGAAAAUUCUGCCAUGCCACUUUUCUUGCAACUGCCAGUCGUGUCUGUCGCUGUUAACUGUAAACCAGUAAACUAUUAUAUCUAUAAUAAUUCUCUUCGCUCCUAUCUUCCUUAGACGAACAUUAUGAGUUGAGUGAGCUUUCAUUUUCAAAUUAUAUCCCGUAUUUAUUCAGUCAAUUUCCACAUUUCUGUUUGGAAUAACAGAAUAUUGCUCUAGAAGUUUUAUGCCCCGAUUGUUGUCCUCUCUUUUCCCUUGAAUGUUUUGCCCCCAGAUGGUAAGGCAAUUUUUGCCAGAGAUAGGUGUAGCGCAACUCAAAUUACCAGAUAGUUCUAAGCUUCUCCCUAUCCAAGACCGUUGUGCGUGGUGAAAAGCCACACCCGACUAGAGGUUCCAUUGUUACUGCAGAACACAACGGCUCUAGACCAGAAAAGGUCGAAAAACAAUCCCUUCUCGGCAAGAUUGUCUUCUUGCCGAAAUGAACCAGUAUUGAAAAAGGACUAUUUUAGGCAACGGCGUAGUGUGGGUUAGAGGCGCACGGGGCGGAGAUAAAGUUUGCCGCUCGUACAGAGUCACGUUCGUCACCUUACGCCCUCGCCUUGCUACGCCACUUAUUAUAGGCGUCUAAGGGUGAACUAGCAUUCCAAAAUAUCUCACUUUAAGUUUUUGUUUCAUAUUUUAACUUUUUUGUCCAUAUGUACAGUAGGUUAUAUCUUUAUUUUUUACAGGGUGACUCAAACUCUUUUAAUUUAAAAAUUUUGAUUUACAGAAAACUGUAUAUUUUUUUCAUUAUAGGAUUUUCAAAGAAAUUAGCAUUUUAAAAACACGUCAUUUCAUAAUCUAUACAGGGUUAUUUUUUAAACAUAUCCAGUUUACAGUCAAAUUUUCUGCAGUUAAGCUCUUCGAAUCAUACAUAUAAAUACGGUAUAUUAUGUAAAGAACCUAUUGUUUUUUUUCAAAAUCAUAAUAUAUCGCCAUAUUUUAAAGAUAGUUAGCGCUAGAUAUUUGUAAUUUGGUGUGUGAUGGCAGUUAUCAAAAUAGAGUUUUGACUUGAAAUUCUUAUUUAGGUCUGUCAUAUAUAAUGUAUUUAUAUGUAGUAUAUAUUUGUUCAAUGUUCGCUAUUUGAUUGCUGCCAACCAAACAUCCAAUUUCUAGUGCAAGUCGUUUUUAAAAUAAUUUGAU
Sitophilus oryzae (rice weevil) is the source of this 2352-nucleotide long non-coding RNA. RefSeq lists it as uncharacterized. Lineage: Eukaryota; Metazoa; Arthropoda; Insecta; Coleoptera; Curculionidae. The record is from RefSeq and is a predicted model, not a curated record. The transcript has 3 exons.